AGCUCCAAUAGCGUAUAUUAAAGUUGUUGCAGUUAGAACGCUCGUAGUCGGAUUUCGGGGCGGGCCGACCGGUCUGCCGUUGGGUAUGCACUGGCCGGCGCGUCCUUCCUUCCGGAGACCGUGCCUACUCUUAACUGAGCGGGGGCGGGAGACGGAACGUUUACUUUGAAAAAAUCAGAGUGUUUCAAGCAGGCAGCUCGCUCUUGCAUGGAUUAGCAUGGGAUAAUGAAAUAGGACUUUGGUGCUAUUUUGUUGGUUUCGAACACCGAAGUAAUGAUGAGAAGGGACAGUCAGGGGCACUCGUAUUCCGCCGAGAGAGGUGAAAUUCUCAGACCAGCGGAAGACGAACCACUGCGAAAGCAUUUGCCAGGGAUGUUUUCACUG
Molecule: ribosomal RNA, 384 nt
Filed under: uncultured eukaryote
Lineage: Eukaryota
Description: SSU rRNA
Rfam family: Eukaryotic small subunit ribosomal RNA
Source: RNAcentral